Molecule: ribosomal RNA, 253 nt
Filed under: uncultured bacterium
Lineage: Bacteria
Description: partial 16S ribosomal RNA
Rfam family: Bacterial small subunit ribosomal RNA
Source: RNAcentral
GACGAAGGGGGCUAGCGUUGUUCGGAAUUACUGGGCGUAAAGCGCGUGUAGGCGGUUGCCAAAGUCAGGGGUGAAAGCCUUGAGCUCAACUCAAGAAUUGCACUCGAUACUUGGUGACUAGAGGACCGGAGAGGAUAGUGGAAUUCCCAGUGUAGUGGUGAAAUACGUAGAGAUUGGGAAGAACACCAGUGGCGAAGGCGGCUAUCUGGACGGUUUCUGACGCUAAGACGCGAAAGCGUGGGGAGCAAACAGG